RNAcentral lists this signal recognition particle RNA (148 nucleotides) under Pongo abelii (Sumatran orangutan). Its description in RNAcentral is "Metazoan signal recognition particle RNA (ENSPPYG00000038413.1)". It matches the Rfam family "Metazoan signal recognition particle RNA". Rfam says of the family: The signal recognition particle (SRP) is a universally conserved ribonucleoprotein. Lineage: Eukaryota; Metazoa; Chordata; Mammalia; Primates; Hominidae. The record is from Rfam by way of RNAcentral.
GCUGGGCGUGGUGGUGCACGCCUGUAAUCCCAGCUACUCAGGAGGCUGAGGCAGGAGAAUCGCUUGAACCCGGGAGGCAGAGGUUGCAGUGAGCUGAGAUUAUGCCACUGCACUACAGCCUGGGUGACAGAGCGAGACCCUGUCUCAA